UGAAAGAAAAAAAAAAAAGAAGAAAAUGACUGAAUAUCUGAUCCAAGAUGGCUUUUUGUUAUUAUUAUGUUUAAUAUAUGAUGCUAUUCUGCAUAUUUGUUCAUGCAUACCUUCUCCU
RNAcentral lists this non-coding RNA (118 nucleotides) under Corethron pennatum. Lineage: Eukaryota; Bacillariophyta; Corethrophyceae; Corethrales; Corethraceae. The record is from RNAcentral.